Molecule: long non-coding RNA, 444 nt
Filed under: Oryctolagus cuniculus (rabbit)
Lineage: Eukaryota; Metazoa; Chordata; Mammalia; Lagomorpha; Leporidae
Description: lncRNA (ENSOCUG00000034929.1)
Source: RNAcentral
GAUAAUAACUGCUAAGCAUUCGUUCAAUGACUAUAAUAUGUCAAGCAAUGUACUGUGCUUAUGUAGAUUGUCUUAUUUAAGAUUCACAAUAAUUCUGUGAAUAAUUACUCUUGUUAUUUUAAUUUUUUUACAGAUAAGGAAGCAGAGGCCAAAGAGAUGACAUGAUUAAUGAAUUAUGGAGUGGGGACUCAAACUCUGGCAGUCUCAUCCAGGAGGUCACAUUCUUUCACAACCCAGGACUUAGCUGACCCCUUCCGGAGGCUGGACCAAACGUUUUCCAGUCUAGUUGAGGGCCAGGACAAGGUUUGUUAUAAGAGGUUUGGAGAAAGUCGUUCUACAGUGUCUACCACAGGCAUGGUGAGAAAUCCCCUCAACUUCUGGAUCCUUGAAUGCCUACCAUCUCUGCAUAAGGCAAGUCAUGGAGUUGACACUCUGAGGAAUUGA